GAUGAACGCUGGCGGCGUGCCUAAUACAUGCCAGUCGAGCGAACAGAUGAGGAGCUUGCUCCUCUGACGUUAGCGGCGGACGGGUGAGUAACACGUGGAUAACCUACCUAUAAGACUGGGAUAACUUCGGGAAACCGGAGCUAAUACCGGAUAAUAUAUUGAACCGCAUGGUUCAAUUGUGAAAGACGGUUUUGCUGUCACUUAUAGAUGGAUCCGCGCCGCAUUAGCUAGUUGGUAAGGUAACGGCUUACCAAGGCAACGAUGCGUAGCCGACCUGAGAGGGUGAUCGGCCACACUGGAACUGAGACACGGUCCAGACUCCUACGGGAGGCAGCAGUAGGGAAUCUUCCGCAAUGGGCGAAAGCCUGACGGAGCAACGCCGCGUGAGUGAUGAAGGUCUUCGGAUCGUAAAACUCUGUUAUUAGGGAAGAACAAAUGUGUAAGUAACUAUGCACGUCUUGACGGUACCUAAUCAGAAAGCCACGGCUAACUACGUG
This 497-nucleotide ribosomal RNA is filed under the name uncultured bacterium. RNAcentral describes it as "partial 16S ribosomal RNA". It matches the Rfam family "Bacterial small subunit ribosomal RNA", at positions 28 to 507 of the family's 1533-position model. The record is from RNAcentral.